UCUGGGUGUGGUGGCACAUGCCAACAGUCCCAGCUACUUGGGAGGCUGUGGCAAGAGGAUCACUUGAGCCCAAGAGUCUGAGGGCAGCCUGAGCAACAUAGUGACACCUUGUUUCAA
RNAcentral lists this small RNA (117 nucleotides) under Marmota monax (woodchuck). The record is from RNAcentral. Lineage: Eukaryota; Metazoa; Chordata; Mammalia; Rodentia; Sciuridae.